AAGAGCUCCAAAUUAGUCUAAUGAGUACAGCUCAACAAUCUCAGAAAAGCUUUAUCCUCUUCAAGUUUCUCAUUCACGGUAAAAACAUAAGUAAAGAGUAGCAUUACUUUUACAGCAAAGCACCCCUUUAUCGUAUGUAUACAUAGUAACAUUCUGAGGAAAAUGGAUCGGGUCCUGCUUUGCUUCCAUUUCGGAAAUGAGUGAAGCUUUGUACUGAAGCCCUCUGGACAGCUUUAGGCUCUCCUACCACACGGAAACUGGUAAGCAAAAGAAUAUAUAACCAAGUACUGAGUAGCAUCUAAUUUGCACUCCCUUUCUUAGUUUUGAUUGCAUUGACGUCUCUCAUUGUCUCAAUGCUUCCACAUGCAGCAAGGAUGAGAUCCAAUUAUUAAACCAAACACAGCUCUUAAUUGGAAAACAACUCGACUAUGUAGUUCCAAGCAUAUUCAGGAAUUGACAGAGAUAACAUCAAUAUACAAGUUGUUUUCUACCUGAAAAAGUAUACGGAUAUCUUCCACAAAAUAGUAAUUGGACCACGGCUUAUUAAUAAUGCAGUAAGCAGUAGACAAGUACCAUUCGCAGCUGUAAAAAAUAAAUAACAUCAAACAACAUGUGGUCUACAAACUAUACAAUCAUACAUGCAUAAAUAAAAUAUCAAGCACUAACACAAUCACGCAUACUUACCCAAGGAGAAGUUUAAUCGGCACCGAAUGUCUCCAAACGGACGAAGUAGAUGCUAUGAUACGCCAUCGUGAUCCACUACUCACCGCACUCCUCCGUGACCACUGCCCCCACCGCAAUCCUCUGUGGCACCCGUCACCCAGUGACUGUGCUUGCACAACUGUGCUUUGGUAUAUGCAAGUCUUCUCUUUCAAGAAUUGUUUGCAAUGAUUUUUACCAUAUUGACUUUAGGUGGUAAUGUCGAGCAUUUACAUUUUGGGAUGACAUUCUAAUAAACUUGAUUGUCUCAUGAAGAGGAAGAAAGGAGGAAGGUGCAGUUGUGAGACCAAUCAAAAUGGAGUGUGCUGAUAGAGAGAUGCUAAAGAAAGCAGAACCAAGGGGUGGAUCAAGAUAAAGAGGGAGAUAUCUGCCAAUAUACCAAAGAAGAGAUGGUGACUGGUACAAUAUUCUUUUGCAUAUACUACCUCCGUUCCAUAAUUCUUGUCGAAAUAUUACAUGUAUCUAGACGCUUUUUAGGAACAGAUACAUCCAAUUUUGGGCAAAUUUGAGACAAGAAUUAUGGAACGGAGGGAGUACUUUUUUCCAUAGCAACGCACAGGUUACUUACUAACUAUGGGUACCAGCUGCCUCUUUUAUUUGCAGUUCAUUCUGUACAUCUCAUCCAUUAUUUUCUAUUCCUGAAAGUUUAGUGUUGAGGCAGGAAAGGUGAAAUACUUCUUGGAAUGCCAGCUUCUGAAGGUGUAUCUGAUGUUGAGUUGUUGACAAGAAUAAAUGUAAUCGGUAAGGGUAUCAAUAAAGCCAGUGAGAUGCGCAUGAACUGUUAAUUAAAAAAUCUAUCUGUUAUUUCCAUUUAUAUACUUGAGAGCAAAUGACUGAUUUGAUGAACAUUGUGAGAAUUCAUUCUUAGUCUCUUUUUUAUUAAGACUAAACUUUUUCACUCUAACAAUGAUCUCAUCUCUAGAUGUCUGCUUCGUGCUUGCAAGAGCAAGGCAAUAAAUUUUUCUUCUCGCGUAUAUUUACCUGGCAUAAUUUGGAGCUUACAUUUUACAUGGUAUUACAGUUUACUAAGGUAUUGUGUAUUUGUUUAGUCAUUAAAAAAUUUGUACUUUUGGUAACAGUUAAUCCCAGCUUCUUCAAUUUUUUAUUUUUUACUGUGACAAAUAUGGAAUUUAUGGCUUGAUAGCACACAAAAACAUGACUUGUUGGAAAGUAAACAUACCUUCUACUGAACCGUCGGUUCAUGGUAGCGACUUUGUUCAUCUCGUACAGAUGACAAUGACGAGAGGCACAAACUCGAGAAGGACCUUGGCAUCGAUGAUGAGGUGGGGCAGUCGAGGAACAACGAGGUGGGGAAGACGAACUCAGCGCUUGCCUUGAUGAAUAAGAAGUUCAGGAUGAUCCACAGGCUAUUGUCGCUGGCCAACGUCAUGCCGUUCGGCAGAGUGACCAUGCACUCCUUGUACCUCACCAGCAAGAUCGACCUGCGA
RNAcentral lists this long non-coding RNA (2168 nucleotides) under Brachypodium distachyon (stiff brome). RNAcentral's name for it is "long non-coding RNA (BDIS_LNC001229)". The stretch from base 1136 to 1260 matches the Rfam family "MIR1120/MIR1122 microRNA precursor family". Lineage: Eukaryota; Viridiplantae; Streptophyta; Magnoliopsida; Poales; Poaceae. The record is from RNAcentral.